This 300-nucleotide long non-coding RNA is filed under the name Equus asinus (donkey). RNAcentral's name for it is "lncRNA (ENSEASG00005025866.1)". Lineage: Eukaryota; Metazoa; Chordata; Mammalia; Perissodactyla; Equidae. The record is from RNAcentral.
GGCCCUCUCACAUGGAUCUAGCCACCAUACUGUGAGGAAGCCAAAGCUAUGUGGAGAAGCUACAUACAGAUAUUCUGGCCAAGAGUCUCAGCUAAGCUCCCAGCCAACAGCCAGUACUGGCUGCCAGAGCUGCAAAGGAGCCUGGGAAGGUGAGCCUCUUGUCUGGGGCUAAGACGUUAUCACCACGAACAAAAUUGGUAUAUUGAAGCAACGAGGAAGAGGAAGAUGCCAUACCCUUCCCCCUACAAUCUUCCCAGGUGGCACAGGACCCCCAGGGCCCCUUCCCAACAACCCCAGGAA